RNAcentral lists this ribosomal RNA (640 nucleotides) under uncultured bacterium. RNAcentral's name for it is "bacterial SSU rRNA". It matches the Rfam family "Bacterial small subunit ribosomal RNA", at positions 55 to 695 of the family's 1533-position model. The record is from RNAcentral.
AUGCAGUCGAACGAGAAUCUGCGGAAAGAGGAUUCGUCCAAUUGAAGCAGAGGACAGUGGCGGACGGGUGAGUAACGCGUGAGGAACCUGCCUUUCAGAGGGGGACAACAGUUGGAAACGACUGCUAAUACCGCAUGACAUAUAGAUGUCGCAUGGCAUUUAUAUCAAAGAUUUAUCGCUGAAAGAUGGCCUCGCGUCUGAUUAGCUAGUUGGUGAGGUAACGGCCCACCAAGGCGACGAUCAGUAGCCGGACUGAGAGGUUGAACGGCCACAUUGGGACUGAGAUACGGCCCAGACUCCUACGGGAGGCAGCAGUGGGGAAUAUUGGGCAAUGGGCGCAAGCCUGACCCAGCAACGCCGCGUGAAGGAAGAAGGCUUUCGGGUUGUAAACUUCUUUUGUCAGGGACGAGUAGAAGACGGUACCUGACGAAUAAGCCACGGCUAACUACGUGCCAGCAGCCGCGGUAAUACGUAGGUGGCAAGCGUUGUCCGGAUUUACUGGGUGUAAAGGGCGUGUAGCCGGGAGGGCAAGUCAGAUGUGAAAUCCACGGGCUCAACUCGUGAACUGCAUUUGAAACUACUCUUCUUGAGUAUCGGAGAGGCAAUCGGAAUUCCUAGUGUAGCGGUGAAAUGCGUAGAU